AUUGAGCGCUGGCGGCAUGCCUUACACAUGCAAGUCGAACGGCAGCACGGGAGCAAUCCUGGUGGCGAGUGGCGAACGGGUGAGUAAAGUAUCGGAACGUGCCCAGUCGUGGGGGAUAACGUAGCGAAAGCUACGCUAAUACCGCAUACGAUCUAUGGAUGAAAGCGGGGGAUCGCAAGACCUCGCGCGAUUGGAGCGGCCGAUAUCAGAUUAGGUAGUUGGUGGGGUAAAGGCUCACCAAGCCGACGAUCUGUAGCUGGUCUGAGAGGACGACCAGCCACAAUGGGACUGAGACACGGCCCAGACUCCUACGGGAGGCAGCAGUGGGGAAUUUUGGACAAUGGGCGAAAGCCUGAUCCAGCCAUGCCGCGUGCAGGAUGAAGGCCUUCGGGUUGUAAACUGCUUUUGUACGGAACGAAAAGGUUUGGCCUAAUAAGCUGAGCUCAUGACGGUACCGUAAGAAUAAGCACCGGCUAACUACGUGCCAGCCGCCGCAGUAA
This 500-nucleotide ribosomal RNA is filed under the name uncultured bacterium. RNAcentral describes it as "partial 16S ribosomal RNA". It matches the Rfam family "Bacterial small subunit ribosomal RNA", at positions 30 to 523 of the family's 1533-position model. The record is from RNAcentral.